RNAcentral lists this ribosomal RNA (250 nucleotides) under uncultured bacterium. Its description in RNAcentral is "partial 16S ribosomal RNA". It matches the Rfam family "Bacterial small subunit ribosomal RNA", at positions 15 to 248 of the family's 1533-position model. The record is from RNAcentral.
GAUCCUGGCUCGGGAUGAACGCUGGCGGCGUGCUUAACACAUGCAAGUCGAACGGGGAUUAUUUCAUUGAAGCUUCGGCAGAUUUGGCUUAAUCCUAGUGGCGGACGGGUGAGUAACGCGUGGGUAACCUGCCUUGUACAGGGGGAUAACAGUCAGAAAUGACUGCUAAUACCGCAUAAGCGCACAGGACCGCAUGGUCCGGUGUGAAAAACUCCGGUGGUAUAAGAUGGACCCGCGUUGGAUUAGCUUG